This 74-nucleotide transfer RNA is filed under the name Planctomycetaceae bacterium. Its description in RNAcentral is "tRNA-His". It matches the Rfam family "tRNA". From Rfam's summary of the family: Transfer RNA (tRNA) molecules are approximately 80 nucleotides in length. Their secondary structure includes four short double-helical elements and three loops (D, anti-codon, and T loops). The record is from RNAcentral. Lineage: Bacteria; Pseudomonadati; Planctomycetota; Planctomycetia; Planctomycetales; Planctomycetaceae.
GUGGGUGUAGCUCAGUUGGUUAGAGCGUCGGAUUGUGGUUCCGAAUGUCGAGGGUUCGAGCCCCUUCAUCCACC